GGAAAUAACUCUGCAAAGUUAAACUCGUAUAAUAACCACUGAACCUCAGUUAAGGCCCUAACCGGACAAGGAUUAGGGAAAAAGGCUUACUCGAUGGCUCGCGUUUAGCGAUCCUAGAGACGACAGUCAUAGACUCUGAGACAAUAAGGCAGUGGCUUUCCCAGUAAGCUUUAAGGCAGUCUUGGGAAAGGAACAGGAGGGGCCAGGGGGACCUUCUGUUCAAAGCGGUACUCGAUAGGGUGGUUCCGUACGAAAGGGAAAUUGGGAUCUCUGACAUCUUGAAUUUUCACCUUUAGGGGGGUAAUUUCAAUGACAGUAAGAGUCCCCUUUCGGGGGAAAUCCAGGAGAGGCUUAUCGCCCUCGUAUGCGUUUCUGUUGUUGUUUCUGUAUGUGUUAAGUCGGCUCGUAGAGGCGGCUUAGCUGCUAAAGUCUUACAAGCAAUACAAGGCUCAAUAAGGCUCGUAUUUCGGGUCCUAUUGGAAAGUGUAUUGUUGUAGACAGGGUUACUAGUAUAAAUGCUAUCAAGCCCGGAGGCAGCCCCUUUGGGAGCUGAUCCGGAGAUAGAGCAGCUCCUAGUAAGAGAAAGUAGAGCAACAACUGCUAAAGAAGCUCAGUAGCAGCAAGAGCGGGCUUCCCUUACUCUAUUUCCGAAGCGGAAAUAGUCGGGAAGUAGAUAGAGCGGACCGUUGCCCCCUCCGAGCUUUGCUCGUCUCCCCUCGGGGGAGGUUGGGCUCAAAAGUGGUCUUCCCUUAUUCUAUUUCCUCGGAGGAAAUAGUCGGGUCGCAAAACGCAAGUACCGUGCAAACAAGAGUUGGCUUCCGCGCGCGCGCGUAAGAGCUGAACGCUUUCCCCUCCGAGCUGCGCUCUUCCUCCCUCGGGGAGGUUAGCUCAUUAGCUCAGUAGCUCCUUAGCUCGUAGCUCAUUAGCUCAGUAGCUCAGUAGCUCAGGUUUUAAAGUUGGAAGUAGCUACUAGCCUGUCUCAGGGCUCCGAGCGCUGCUGCAGCCCAAACAUACCGCAGCGCUCUCCGGUCCCUUCGCGAAGCAAUUCGCUCUGUUAGGCAUAUGUAGACUUAUGUGGGCUGGCUUGUAUUCUUAUAUGAAACCUUUCCUGUGAGAUCGGUCGUUACUCCAACCCUGGAGUAACUUCCCUUCCAGAGUGUUAACUCACAUAUGCUUUUUCCGGACCCUAUGUAGUUAGGAGUUUUGUAUUUGUUGAAGCUAGUAGUCUCUAGCGGCCGUACCUGUUCAGUUAUCUUAUAAGUUCCGGACUUAGAUACAGGGAAAUAACUCUGCAAAGUUAAACUCGUAUAAUAACCACUGAACCUCAGUUAAGGCCCUAACCGGACAAGGAUUAGGGAAAAAGGCUUACUCGAUGGCUCGCGUUUAGCGAUCCUAGAGACGACAGUCAUAGACUCUGAGACAAUAAGGCAGUGGCUUUCCCAGUAAGCUUUAAGGCAGUCUUGGGAAAGGAACAGGAGGGGCCAGGGGGACCUUCUGUUCAAAGCGGUACUCGAUAGGGUGGUUCCGUACGAAAGGGAAAUUGGGAUCUCUGACAUCUUGAAUUUUCACCUUUAGGGGGGUAAUUUCAAUGACAGUAAGAGUCCCCUUUCGGGGGAAAUUCAAGAGAGGCUUAUCGCCCUCGUAUGCGUUUCUGUUGUUGUUUCUGUAUGUGUUAAGUCGGCUCGUAGAGGCGGCUUAGCAGCUAAAGUCUUACAAGCAAUACAAGGCUCAAUAAGGCUCGUAUUUCGGGUCCUAUUGGAAAGUGUAUUGUUGUAGACAGGGUUACUAGUAUAAAUGCUAUCAAGCCCGGAGGCAGCCCCUUUGGGAGCUGAUCCGGAGAUAGAGCAGCUCCUAGUAAGAGAAAGUAGAGCAACAACUGCUAAAGAAGCUCAGUAGCAGCAAGAGCGGGCUUCCCUUACUCUAUUUCCGAAGCGGAAAUAGUCGGGAAGUAGAUAGAGCGGACCGUUGCCCCCUCCGAGCUUUGCUCGUCUCCCCUCGGGGGAGGUUGGGCUCAAAAGUGGUCUUCCCUUAUUCUAUUUCCUCGGAGGAAAUAGUCGGGUCGCAAAACGCAAGUACCGUGCAAACAAGAGUUGGCUUCCGCGCGCGCGCGUAAGAGCUGAACGCUUUCCCCUCCGAGCUGCGCUCUUCCUCCCUCGGGGAGGUUAGCUCAUUAGCUCAGUAGCUCCUUAGCUCGUAGCUCAUUAGCUCAGUAGCUCAGUAGCUCAGGUUUUAAAGUUGGAAGUAGCUACUAGCCUGUCUCAGGGCUCCGAGCGCUGCUGCAGCCCAAACAUACCGCAGCGCUCUCCGGUCCCUUCGCGAAGCAAUUCGCUCUGUUAGGCAUAUGUAGACUUAUGUGGGCUGGCUUGUAUUCUUAUAUGAAACCUUUCCUGUGAGAUCGGUCGUUACUCCAACCCUGGAGUAACUUCCCUUCCAGAGUGUUAACUCACAUAUGCUUUUUCCGGACCCUAUGUAGUUAGGAGUUUUGUAUUUGUUGAAGCUAGUAGUCUCUAGCGGCCGUACCUGUUCAGUUAUCUUAUAAGUUCCGGACUUAGAUACAGGGAAAUAACUCUGCAAAGUUAAACUCGUAUAAUAACCACUGAACCUCAGUUAAGGCCCUAACCGGACAAGGAUUAGGGAAAAAGGCUUACUCGAUGGCUCGCGUUUAGCGAUCCUAGAGACGACAGUCAUAGACUCUGAGACAAUAAGGCAGUGGCUUUCCCAGUAAGCUUUAAGGCAGUCUUGGGAAAGGAACAGGAGGGGCCAGGGGGACCUUCUGUUCAAAGCGGUACUCGAUAGGGUGGUUCCGUACGAAAGGGAAAUUGGGAUCUCUGACAUCUUGAAUUUUCACCUUUAGGGGGGUAAUUUCAAUGACAGUAAGAGUCCCCUUUCGGGGGAAAUCCAGGAGAGGCUUAUCGCCCUCGUAUGCGUUUCUGUUGUUGUUUCUGUAUGUGUUAAGUCGGCUCGUAGAGGCGGCUUAGCUGCUAAAGUCUUACAAGCAAUACAAGGCUCAAUAAGGCUCGUAUUUCGGGUCCUAUUGGAAAGUGUAUUGUUGUAGACAGGGUUACUAGUAUAAAUGCUAUCAAGCCCGGAGGCAGCCCCUUUGGGAGCUGAUCCGGAGAUAGAGCAGCUCCUAGUAAGAGAAAGUAGAGCAACAACUGCUAAAGAAGCUCAGUAGCAGCAAGAGCGGGCUUCCCUUACUCUAUUUCCGAAGCGGAAAUAGUCGGGAAGUAGAUAGAGCGGACCGUUGCCCCCUCCGAGCUUUGCUCGUCUCCCCUCGGGGGAGGUUGGGCUCAAAAGUGGUCUUCCCUUAUUCUAUUUCCUCGGAGGAAAUAGUCGGGUCGCAAAACGCAAGUACCGUGCAAACAAGAGUUGGCUUCCGCGCGCGCGCGUAAGAGCUGAACGCUUUCCCCUCCGAGCUGCGCUCUUCCUCCCUCGGGGAGGUUAGCUCAUUAGCUCAGUAGCUCCUUAGCUCGUAGCUCAUUAGCUCAGUAGCUCAGUAGCUCAGGUUUUAAAGUUGGAAGUAGCUACUAGCCUGUCUCAGGGCUCCGAGCGCUGCUGCAGCCCAAACAUACCGCAGCGCUCUCCGGUCCCUUCGCGAAGCAAUUCGCUCUGUUAGGCAUAUGUAGACUUAUGUGGGCUGGCUUGUAUUCUUAUAUGAAACCUUUCCUGUGAGAUCGGUCGUUACUCCAACCCUGGAGUAACUUCCCUUCCAGAGUGUUAACUCACAUAUGCUUUUUCCGGACCCUAUGUAGUUAGGAGUUUUGUAUUUGUUGAAGCUAGUAGUCUCUAGCGGCCGUACCUGUUCAGUUAUCUUAUAAGUUCCGGACUUAGAUACAGGGAAAUAACUCUGCAAAGUUAAACUCGUAUAAUAACCACUGAACCUCAGUUAAGGCCCUAACCGGACAAGGAUUAGGGAAAAAGGCUUACUCGAUGGCUCGCGUUUAGCGAUCCUAGAGACGACAGUCAUAGACUCUGAGACAAUAAGGCAGUGGCUUUCCCAGUAAGCUUUAAGGCAGUCUUGGGAAAGGAACAGGAGGGGCCAGGGGGACCUUCUGUUCAAAGCGGUACUCGAUAGGGUGGUUCCGUACGAAAGGGAAAUUGGGAUCUCUGACAUCUUGAAUUUUCACCUUUAGGGGGGUAAUUUCAAUGACAGUAAGAGUCCCCUUUCGGGGGAAAUCCAGGAGAGGCUUAUCGCCCUCGUAUGCGUUUCUGUUGUUGUUUCUGUAUGUGUUAAGUCGGCUCGUAGAGGCGGCUUAGCUGCU
RNAcentral lists this long non-coding RNA (4262 nucleotides) under Panax ginseng (ginseng). Its description in RNAcentral is "long non-coding RNA (PGIN_LNC010910)". The record is from RNAcentral. Lineage: Eukaryota; Viridiplantae; Streptophyta; Magnoliopsida; Apiales; Araliaceae.